AUGUUAAGCCUCAUAUAUAUACAUAUAUAUAUAUAUAUAUGUUGGUCUAAUGUACUUUUUUUUGUAAGCAUUUUUUAUAUAAAAAUGUACAUAUUCACAUUGUUAUAGCAAAAAAAAAUCUAUAUCAUGGGAUGAAGUGACAAUACAAGAACAAGACAAAGAAAGAGGCUCGAGAAUGAAAAUUUUAGAACCGAACACUCCAUUUAAUUUUAUUUUAAUGGAUAGUGCCUCAGAAGAUGAAACUUCUAAGAAUGGGGAUUCUAGAGGGAAUGUCCAAAAGAAUAACAUUGCUGAUGACCUUAUAAAUAAGCUAAACCAGCUGGUAGAAAAACAAGACAGUAAAGGUGUAACAACCAUAGACUUCAAAGAGAAAAGGAAGAAACAUUAUGAUGAAUAUAAGACGUUGCAAGAAUUAAGAAAAUCUGGUACACUUGACAACAUAGAUGAAGAGUUCAAGUCAGAUGCAAACGAUUCAUUCCUUGAUAAUAAUAAAAUUGAUGAAUUAUAGAAGUAAAAUAUAGAAUUUAAUAUUUAAAAAAAAAAAAAAAUACAGAAGAAUUUUAGCUAUUACGACAGAAGAUUAUAUACAUAUAUAUAUAUAUAUAUAUAUAACAAAUUUUAUUAAAACAAUAUAUCCUUUUUAAUUUUUAAAUAUAAAAUUUGCUGAAAUUGUUAAAAUGUACGACGAUUGUGAAAAACAAAUGUACCUGUUAAUAAUUUUCUCUGUAUAUACAUAUAUAUACAAUAUAUUACUUUAACUUUUACCUUGUUUUAUUAAACUUAUGCCAAUGCAAAAUAUUUGUUAAGGAGUUAUAUUUAGUUUUAAUUCUUUCUCUUUUUUUUUCUUGAUUUUAAAUAUAAACUUCAUUGAUUUUUUAAUUUUUAUAUAGUAUUUUCAAAAAUUAAACAACACAUAAAAAAAAAAAAAAAUAGGGUAAAAAAUAAUCAAACACGAUCAAACAAAACAAAAAAAACAAAAAAAACAAAAAAAACAAAAAAAACAAAAAAAAAUGCAAAAUUAAAUAAUUAAUUAUUUUUACGUACGUCUUUUUUUCUACUAUAUAUAACUUAACCUCAAUUACAUUGACAAAUACGGAUUUAUAUAAAUAAGAGAAAACAGGUUAAAAAGGAAAAAAAAGUCUUAAUUUUGUAACACCUUUGUAACUCUUUAUAUCAAUUGAAUAAAUAAAAAAAAGUAGGUUUGUAU
This 1207-nucleotide long non-coding RNA is filed under the name Piliocolobus tephrosceles (Ugandan red Colobus). RNAcentral's name for it is "lncRNA (ENSPTEG00000013877.1)". The record is from RNAcentral. Lineage: Eukaryota; Metazoa; Chordata; Mammalia; Primates; Cercopithecidae.